AUGCAGGCUGUUCAGCGAGGCUAAGUCUAACACGUGACUUUGUCCUUUCCUUUAUGUCUGCUAGAGAAACUCGGGGUGGUUUGAGGCCUGACGGUGUUCCUCCACUGUCAGGUUAUAGAAACCUUGUACAAAU
Small nucleolar RNA from Clarias gariepinus (North African catfish), 133 nucleotides. RefSeq annotates it as small nucleolar RNA SNORA9. The record is from RefSeq and is a predicted model, not a curated record. NCBI's taxonomy places the organism in Eukaryota, Metazoa, Chordata, Actinopteri, Siluriformes, Clariidae. The transcript has a single exon.